This 491-nucleotide ribosomal RNA is filed under the name uncultured bacterium. Its description in RNAcentral is "partial 16S ribosomal RNA". It matches the Rfam family "Bacterial small subunit ribosomal RNA", at positions 29 to 506 of the family's 1533-position model. The record is from RNAcentral.
AGUGAACGCUGGCGGUAGGCCUAACACAUGCAAGUCGAACGGCAGCACAGUAAGAGCUUGCUCUUACGGGUGGCGAGUGGCGGACGGGUGAGGAAUACAUCGGAAUCUACUUUUUCGUGGGGGAUAACGUAGGGAAACUUACGCUAAUACCGCAUACGACCUACGGGUGAAAGCAGGGGAUCUUCGGACCUUGCGCGAUUGAAUGAGCCGAUGUCGGAUUAGCUAGUUGGCGGGGUAAAGGCCCACCAAGGCGACGAUCCGUAGCUGGUCUGAGAGGAUGAUCAGCCCCCCGGGACCUGGAAACCGUCCCGGCCCCCGCGGGGAGGCACCGGGGGGGAAUUUUGGACAAGGGGGGCAAGCCUGACCCAGCCACCCCGCGUGGGUGAAGAAGGCCUUGGGGUUGUAACGCCCUUUUUUUGGGAAAGAAAAGCAGAGGGUUAAGCCCCCGCUUUUUUGCCGGACCCCAAAAAAAAAGCCCCGGCUACCUCCGG